Molecule: ribosomal RNA, 468 nt
Filed under: uncultured bacterium
Lineage: Bacteria
Description: partial 16S ribosomal RNA
Rfam family: Bacterial small subunit ribosomal RNA
Source: RNAcentral
GACGAACGCUGGCGGCGUGCUUAACACAUGCAAGUCGAACGGAAAGGCCCUGCUUUUGUGGGGUGCUCGAGUGGCGAACGGGUGAGUAACACGUGAGUAACCUGCCCCUGACUUUGGGAUAACUUCAGGAAACUGGGGCUAAUACCGGAUAGGAGCUCCUGCUGCAUGGUGGGGGUUGGAAAGUUUCGGCGGUUGGGGAUGGACUCGCGGCUUAUCAGCUUGGUGGUGGGGUAGUGGCUUACCAAGGCUUUGACGGGUAGCAGGCCUGGGAGGGUGACCGGCCACAUUGGGACGGGGAUACGGCCCAGACUCCUACGGGAGGCAGCAGUGGGGAAUAUUGCACAAUGCGCGGAAGCCUGAUGCAGCAACGCCGCGUGCGGGAUGACGUCCUUCGGGUUGUAAACCGCUUUCGCCUGUGACGAAGCGUGAGUGACGGUAAUGGGUAAAGAAGCACCGGCUAACUACGUG